Molecule: unclassified non-coding RNA, 279 nt
Filed under: plant metagenome
Description: partial contains small subunit ribosomal RNA, internal transcribed spacer 1, and 5.8S ribosomal RNA
Source: RNAcentral
UCUCCGUUGGUGAACCAGCGGAAGGAUCAUUACCAAUUAUUCAACUACCAAACCCUUAUAUGAACCCUACCACACUUUUUGUGCAACGGGAUGAUACUCCCCAUCGCUCUCUUUUACGUUACGGCAGAGGGCACCCCUACAACUUACCAACAUCACCUUUAUCUGAUUUGUGCGAACAUUUGUAAUCAUGAAUCAACUUAAUUCCAAAAUACAACUUUCAACAACGGAUCUAUUACUUCUCACAUCGGUGAAGAACGUACCAGAACCGAAGAGCAAACC